RNAcentral lists this ribosomal RNA (589 nucleotides) under Klebsiella oxytoca. RNAcentral's name for it is "partial 23S ribosomal RNA". It matches the Rfam family "Bacterial large subunit ribosomal RNA", at positions 2210 to 2798 of the family's 2925-position model. The record is from RNAcentral. Lineage: Bacteria; Pseudomonadati; Pseudomonadota; Gammaproteobacteria; Enterobacterales; Enterobacteriaceae.
AUGGCUGGUGUUCUAACGUGGGCCCGUGAUCCGGGUUGCGGACAGUGUCUGGUGGGUAGUUUGACUGGGGCGGUCUCCUCCUAAAGAGUAACGGAGGAGCACGAAGGUCAGCUAAUCCUGGUCGGACAUCAGGAGGUUAGUGCAAUGGCAUAAGCUGGCUUGACUGCGAGCGUGACGGCGCGAGCAGGUGCGAAAGCAGGUCAUAGUGAUCCGGUGGUUCUGAAUGGAAGGGCCAUCGCUCAACGGAUAAAAGGUACUCCGGGGAUAACAGGCUGAUACCGCCCAAGAGUUCAUAUCGACGGCGGUGUUUGGCACCUCGAUGUCGGCUCAUCACAUCCUGGGGCUGAAGUAGGUCCCAAGGGUAUGGCUGUUCGCCAUUUAAAGUGGUACGCGAGCUGGGUUUAGAACGUCGUGAGACAGUUCGGUCCCUAUCUGCCGUGGGCGCUGGAGAAUUGAGGGGGGCUGCUCCUAGUACGAGAGGACCGGAGUGGACGCAUCACUGGUGUUCGGGUUGUCAUGCCAAUGGCAUUGCCCGGUAGCUAAAUGCGGAAGAGAUAAGUGCUGAAAGCAUCUAAGCACGAAACUUGCC